GCUUUGCGUGAUGAAUUAGCCUUUUUUCAUACAGUUAUCCCUGUCUGAAAAUAAUUUUCCGUGUGGACAAUGCCUAUCUUCUGAUCUUUGC
RNAcentral lists this small nucleolar RNA (91 nucleotides) under Claviceps purpurea 20.1. RNAcentral describes it as "Small nucleolar RNA R38". It matches the Rfam family "Small nucleolar RNA R38". Rfam says of the family: snoR38 is a C/D box small nucleolar RNA conserved across yeast, human, Arabidopsis and rice. It is encoded in the intron of elongation factor-1 gamma in both pombe and cerevisiae. snoR38 guides the methylation of 2'-O-ribose sites in 28S rRNA. The record is from Rfam by way of RNAcentral. Lineage: Eukaryota; Fungi; Ascomycota; Sordariomycetes; Hypocreales; Clavicipitaceae.